Molecule: small nuclear RNA, 107 nt
Organism: Sorex araneus (European shrew)
Lineage: Eukaryota; Metazoa; Chordata; Mammalia; Eulipotyphla; Soricidae
Source: Ensembl
GUGCUCGCUUUAGCAGCACGUAUACUAAAAUAGGAGCAAUACCUAGAAAUUAGCAUGUCUUCUGUGCAAAGAUGAUAUGCAAGAAAAGAGGGACUUUUCUAGUUCUU